Molecule: ribosomal RNA, 305 nt
Filed under: uncultured bacterium
Lineage: Bacteria
Description: bacterial SSU rRNA
Rfam family: Bacterial small subunit ribosomal RNA
Source: RNAcentral
GGGGGCCUACGGGGGGCAGCAGUGAGGAAUAUUGGUCAAUGGCCGAGAGGCUGAACCAGCCACGUCGCGUGAGGGAUGACGGCGCUACGGGUUGUAAACCUCUUUUGUCGGGGAGCAAGACCCGCCACGAGUGGCGGAGCGAGAGUACCCGAAGAAAAAGCAUCGGCUAACUCCGUGCCAGCAGCCGCGGUAAUACGGAGGAUGCGAGCGUUAUCCGGAUUUAUUGGGUUUAAAGGGUGCGCAGGCGGACCAUCAAGUCAGCGGUAAAAUCGUGGGGCCCAACCCCAUCCGGCCGUUGAAACUGG